This 548-nucleotide ribosomal RNA is filed under the name uncultured Glomus. RNAcentral describes it as "SSU rRNA". It matches the Rfam family "Eukaryotic small subunit ribosomal RNA", at positions 548 to 1098 of the family's 1831-position model. Lineage: Eukaryota; Fungi; Glomeromycota; Glomeromycetes; Glomerales; Glomeraceae. The record is from RNAcentral.
UUGGAGGGCAAGUCUGGUGCCAGCAGCCGCGGUAAUUCCAGCUCCAAUAGCGUAUAUUAAAGUUGUUGCAGUUAAAAAGCUCGUGGUUGAAUUUCGGGAUCAAGGAAUCGGUCAUGCCUCGGUAUGUACUGGUUUUAUUGGUUCUCACCUUCUAAAGAACCAUAAUGUCAUUCAUUUGAUGUUAUGGGGAAUUAGGACUGUUACCUUGAAAAAAUUAGAGUGUUUAAAGCAGGCUUACGCUUGAAUACAUUAGCAUGGAAUAAUGAAAUAGGACAUCAGAUUCUAUUUUGUUGGUUUCUAGGAUCGAUGUAAUGAUUAAUAGGGAUAGUUGGGGGCAUUAGUAUUCAAUUGUCAGAGGUGAAAUUCUUGGAUUUAUUGAAGACUAACUACUGCGAAAGCAUUUGCCAAGGAUGUUUUCAUUAAUCAAGAACGAAAGUUAGGGGAUCGAAGACGAUCAGAUACCGUCGUAGUCUUAACCAUAAACUAUGCCGACUAGGGAUCGGAUGAUGUUAAUUUUUUAAUGACUCAUUCGGCGCCUUACGGGAAAC